GCGGCCGUGGUCUAGCCAGGUAUGACGGCGGGGCCCCGGCCCGCAAGUCCCGGGUUCAAAUCCCGGCGGCCGCACCA
Molecule: transfer RNA, 77 nt
Filed under: Nitrososphaerota archaeon
Lineage: Archaea; Thermoproteati; Nitrososphaerota
Also listed under: 1 other name
Description: tRNA-Gly
Rfam family: tRNA
About the family: Transfer RNA (tRNA) molecules are approximately 80 nucleotides in length. Their secondary structure includes four short double-helical elements and three loops (D, anti-codon, and T loops). Further hydrogen bonds mediate the characteristic L-shaped molecular structure. tRNAs have two regions of fundamental functional importance: the anti-codon, which is responsible for specific mRNA codon recognition, and the 3' end, to which the tRNAs corresponding amino acid is attached (by aminoacyl-tRNA synthetases). tRNAs cope with the degeneracy of the genetic code in two manners: having more than one tRNA (with a specific anti-codon) for a particular amino acid; and 'wobble' base-pairing, i.e. permitting non-standard base-pairing at the 3rd anti-codon position.
Source: RNAcentral